UUCAUUUCUAGGUGAGGGCUAUUGACAUUGCAGUGCUGGAAUUGCCAGCAUUUGUUUGGAGAGUUGGACACAACCAGGGCUUUGUUAUCAUGGUGCUGUCUCAUCUUUGCUUAUGAACCCUGUUGUGAUGGAGAGAAAAGGAAGAACAUCUGCUCCCUCCUGGAAGCCUUCACUUUGCAGAAUAAGACUCCAUUCAGGAAAUCCUUCUGUUGGUGCUAAUGGGAUGACCUCACAGACAGGAGAAAGCACCUGAUUUACAGCAAGGAAGGAACAGCUUAUAUGUACCGGUGACCUAAUGGAGGCAGGUAAAUGCUAAUUGUUUGCCUUGUGCUGUCC
RNAcentral lists this long non-coding RNA (336 nucleotides) under Dromaius novaehollandiae (emu). RNAcentral describes it as "lncRNA (ENSDNVG00000004853.1)". The record is from RNAcentral. Lineage: Eukaryota; Metazoa; Chordata; Aves; Casuariiformes; Dromaiidae.